This 490-nucleotide long non-coding RNA is filed under the name Ananas comosus (pineapple). RNAcentral describes it as "long non-coding RNA (ACOM_LNC023857)". Lineage: Eukaryota; Viridiplantae; Streptophyta; Magnoliopsida; Poales; Bromeliaceae. The record is from RNAcentral.
AUUGGGAAAUUUUAUGAUUGCCUAUGUGUAUAUAAUAGCGCUUAGGAUUUAAGGGCAUUAGUUAUAGAAAAGUUUAGGAUUUAGUGUUAUUGGUGAUAGUUUUAUAUGUUUAGAAGGCGAUUGCUGAUAAAUUUGUAUGUUUAGAAGAGCAAUGCUACAAGUACACUUUAAAGUGAGAUGUAUAUCUUACACCUAUUUCAUCCUAACGGUUAAUUUCAUAUAGGUGCCUGUAAAGAUAUAGAAUAACAAAUAUAUUCCUACAAAACUUAAGUUCUCAGAUUUAUUCAUUCAAAAUUUCUUUGGUUGACAAAUAUAUCCUUCCAAAAUCUCGAUUGUGACUCGAGCCAACAAGCCUCACACCACUUCGAACAUGACUCAGUCCAACCCAACCUCACGCCAUUUCGAACAUGACUCGGCCCACAUGGCCUCCUGCCACAGGGUAGGAUGCUGACCCAUUUAAGCCAACAUAUUCAUUUAGAAGAUAAACUUA